GACGAACGCUGGCGGCGUGCUUAACACAUGUAAGUCGAACGGUGAAGCGCCUUCCUUUUUGGUGGGUGAGGAUGAGUGGCGAACGGGUGCGUAACACGUGAGUAACCUGCCCCCUUCUUCUGGAUAACUGCAUGAAAGUGUGGCUAAUACGGGAUAUUCUGGGCCUGUCGCAUGAUGGGUCUGGGAAAGAUCUUGUUUCGGUGGGGGAUGGGCUCGCGGCCUAUCAGCUGGUUGGUGGGGUGAUGGCCUACAAAGGCGGUGACGAGUAGCCGGCCAGAGGGGGUGGAGGGUCAGACUGAGUGUGAGGGACUGCCCAGACUCCUACGGGAGGCAGCAAGCGGGAAUAGUGCACAAUGUGCGCAUGCCUGAUGCAGCGACGCCGCGUCAGGGAUGGACGCCUUCGGGGUGUGAACCUCGUUCGACAAUAAAGCAGGCCUGCCUCGUUUGUGGGUGAAUUGACGGUAGCUGGAGAAGAGGCGCCGGCUAACUACCUG
This 494-nucleotide ribosomal RNA is filed under the name uncultured bacterium. RNAcentral describes it as "partial 16S ribosomal RNA". It matches the Rfam family "Bacterial small subunit ribosomal RNA", at positions 28 to 507 of the family's 1533-position model. The record is from RNAcentral.